GCCAGGCGUGGUGGCUCACGCCUGUAAUCCCAGCAGUUUGGGAGGCUGAGGCGGGUGGAUCACUUGAGGCCAGGAGUUCGAGACCAGCCUGGCCAACAUGGUGAAACCCCGUUUCUA
RNAcentral lists this non-coding RNA (117 nucleotides) under Pan paniscus (pygmy chimpanzee). RNAcentral also lists the same sequence under 1 other name. The record is from Rfam by way of RNAcentral. Lineage: Eukaryota; Metazoa; Chordata; Mammalia; Primates; Hominidae.